GAGGGUAGAGCUCAGGGGUAGAGCACGUGCUUAGCAUGCAUACUUCCUAGGUUCAAUCCCCAGUACCUCCA
This 71-nucleotide transfer RNA is filed under the name Camelus bactrianus (Bactrian camel). It matches the Rfam family "tRNA". From Rfam's summary of the family: Transfer RNA (tRNA) molecules are approximately 80 nucleotides in length. Their secondary structure includes four short double-helical elements and three loops (D, anti-codon, and T loops). RNAcentral also lists the same sequence under 1 other name. Lineage: Eukaryota; Metazoa; Chordata; Mammalia; Artiodactyla; Camelidae. The record is from Rfam by way of RNAcentral.